This 510-nucleotide ribosomal RNA is filed under the name uncultured bacterium. Its description in RNAcentral is "partial 16S ribosomal RNA". It matches the Rfam family "Bacterial small subunit ribosomal RNA", at positions 28 to 507 of the family's 1533-position model. The record is from RNAcentral.
GACGAACGCUGGCGGCGUGCUUAACACAUGCAAGUCGAACGAAGAGCGAUGGAAGCUUGCUUCUAUCAAUCUUAGUGGCGAACGGGUGAGUAACGCGUAAUCAACCUGCCCUUCAGAGGGGGACAACAGUUGGAAACGACUGCUAAUACCGCAUACGAUCUAAUCUCGGCAUCGAGGAUAGAUGAAAGGUGGCCUCUACAUGUAAGCUAUCACUGAAGGAGGGGAUUGCGUCUGAUUAGCUAGUUGGAGGGGUAACGGCCCACCAAGGCGAUGAUCAGUAGCCGGUCUGAGAGGAUGAACGGCCACAUUGGGACUGAGACACGGCCCAGACCACUACGGGAGGCAGCAGUGGGGAAUCUUCCGCAAUAGACGAAAGUCUGACGGAGCAACGCCGCGUGAGUGAUGACGGCCUUCGGGUUGUAAAGCUCUGUUAAUCGGGACGAAAGGCCUUCUUGCGAAUAGUGAGAAAGAUUGACGGUACCGGAAUAGAAAGCCACGGCUAACUACGUG